Molecule: ribosomal RNA, 253 nt
Filed under: uncultured bacterium
Lineage: Bacteria
Description: partial 16S ribosomal RNA
Rfam family: Bacterial small subunit ribosomal RNA
Source: RNAcentral
UACGGAGGGUGCAAGCGUUGUCCGGAUUUAUUGGGUUUAAAGGGUGCGUAGGUGGCUAUUUAAGUCAGUGGUGAAAGCCUGCAGCUUAACUGUGGGACUGCCAUUGAUACUGAAUAGCUUGAGUACUGAUGAGGUAGGCGGAAUUGAUAGUGUAGCGGUGAAAUGCAUAGAUAUUAUCAAGAACACCGAUUGCGAAGGCAGCUUACUAAGGAGUUACUGACACUGAGGCACGAAAGCGUGGGGAUCAAACAGG